CCGCGGUAAUUCCAGCUCCAAUAGCGUAUAUUAAAGUUGUUGCAGUUAAAAAGCUCGUAGUUGAAUUUCGGGAUCCAUCCGUUGGUCGGGCCUUGGUACGCACUGGCAUGGUUGGUUUCUACCUUCUGAGGAACCCUGAUGUUAUUUAUUUUGGGUGGUGGGGAAUCAGGACUGUUACCUUGAAAAAA
RNAcentral lists this ribosomal RNA (188 nucleotides) under Glomus sp. RNAcentral describes it as "partial small subunit ribosomal RNA". It matches the Rfam family "Eukaryotic small subunit ribosomal RNA", at positions 574 to 765 of the family's 1831-position model. The record is from RNAcentral. Lineage: Eukaryota; Fungi; Glomeromycota; Glomeromycetes; Glomerales; Glomeraceae.